GUCUGGUGGGUAGUUUGACUGGGGCGGUCUCCUCCUAAAGAGUAACGGAGGAGCACGAAGGUCAGCUAAUCCUGGUCGGACAUCAGGAGGUUAGUGCAAUGGCAUAAGCUGGCUUGACUGCGAGCGUGACGGCGCGAGCAGGUGCGAAAGCAGGUCAUAGUGAUCCGGUGGUUCUGAAUGGAAGGGCCAUCGCUCAACGGAUAAAAGGUACUCCGGGGAUAACAGGCUGAUACCGCCCAAGAGUUCAUAUCGACGGCGGUGUUUGGCACCUCGAUGUCGGCUCAUCACAUCCUGGGGCUGAAGUAGGUCCCAAGGGUAUGGCUGUUCGCCAUUUAAAGUGGUACGCGAGCUGGGUUUAGAACGUCGUGAGACAGUUCGGUCCCUAUCUGCCGUGGGCGCUGGAGAAUUGAGGGGGGCUGCUCCUAGUACGAGAGGACCGGAGUGGACGCAUCACUGGUGUUCGGGUUGUCAUGCCAAUGGCAUUGCCCGGUAGCUAAAUGCGGAAGAGAUAAGUGCUGAAAGCAUCUAAGCACGAAACUUGCC
RNAcentral lists this ribosomal RNA (543 nucleotides) under Klebsiella oxytoca. Its description in RNAcentral is "partial 23S ribosomal RNA". It matches the Rfam family "Bacterial large subunit ribosomal RNA", at positions 2256 to 2798 of the family's 2925-position model. Lineage: Bacteria; Pseudomonadati; Pseudomonadota; Gammaproteobacteria; Enterobacterales; Enterobacteriaceae. The record is from RNAcentral.